UACGUAGGGGGCAAGCGUUAUCCGGAUUUACUGGGUGUAAAGGGAGCGUAGACGGCGGUGCAAGCCAGAUGUGAAAGCCCGGGGCUCAACCCCGGGACUGCAUUUGGAACUAUAUGGCUAGAGUGUCGGAGAGGCAGGCGGAAUUCCUAGUGUAGCGGUGAAAUGCGUAGAUAUUAGGAGGAACACCAGUGGCGAAGGCGGCCUGCUGGACGAUGACUGACGUUGAGGCUCGAAAGCGUGGGGAGCAAACAGG
Molecule: ribosomal RNA, 253 nt
Filed under: uncultured bacterium
Lineage: Bacteria
Description: partial 16S ribosomal RNA
Rfam family: Bacterial small subunit ribosomal RNA
Source: RNAcentral